This 897-nucleotide long non-coding RNA is filed under the name Olea europaea subsp. europaea. The record is from RNAcentral. Lineage: Eukaryota; Viridiplantae; Streptophyta; Magnoliopsida; Lamiales; Oleaceae.
UGGUAAACUUAUAUUUUCAAAUGACAAACUCGCUAAUAUUAUGUAACAUACCAAGCCUCAUAGCAUUCAUAUUCCAAGCACUAAGUCUUACCUGCCUGCUCAGAUGCGUCAAUCCGCCUUCUGUCUCCCACUACCAAAAGACGUGGAGACCGAGGUCAACAUUUAAAUUUCAUAAGAAAUGCAUACAAACUUAAGGUCACAUAAUUAAAAAACACUUGACGAAUACAAUAACAUUGGUCCAACUUGACGAGUACAAUAACACUAGUACAAUGAUAUCAUAGGUGGUCUAAUUUCACGCAGCCUUUCCCCUUUUUCCCACUAUCUUCUACAUGACCUUUACCCUUGUCUGACGAAGGUAGCUUGCACAAAGGAAUUCAAUUUCUUCAUAAAGGAGUUUUUGGCUAACUGAUUUCGCGAACAUUUAACAUUUGUAGACAAUUAAACGGUCAGCUCAACUCUCCAUCCACCAAAUCAACACGUCUACUGACAAAUUCAACCGGUGAGCAAUGGCAAUAAUGGAGUAAAGUUCAAUGGCCAAUGGGACAAUUUUAAAAGUUCAACGAAUAAACCAUGACGUGAUGUAAAGUAACAGCCAAUGAAAUAUUUAACUCCUUUCUAGACAGUGUCUUCUUUUGAGGCUAUAAUUGCCACGUACAUCUUUCAUUAAGCCAUAUUUGACAAAACUUUUUGAAAUUUUAAGCUACCAGUCUCCAUUAAAUUUGUGAUUAAAAACUAAAUAAAAAUUGUAAAUUUAAUAAAAUGUACGAUUAAAAUUUAAAAAUGAAAUUUGGUCAAUUUAUAAUUUUCCAAAAAGCUGUAACAGGUACGAAGUUAGGAAAAGGGCUUCCAAAUUAAAAAUAAAAAAUAAAAGGACAGAAUUGUAACUACAUGACUAAU